UCAAAUCAGUCGCAGCAGUAAAGGGGGAAAUGCAUGCAGAAGAAAAACGGACCAAUGAAGAGGGGGCGGAGCUGCAAUCAGGAGAGGAGGUGAGCCACGUUGCUGCCUCCGUUCAGCCCGUCGCCACUGAGCCGUCCUUGUCGCCGAUGACGUAGAACCGAGAGAGAGGAACGUACGAGGAGAGGAAGGCGCCGUCUCUGGAAGCUGCGCCGUCGUUCUUACUGCGUCGCCGUCGUCCUUGCCACAGAGCCAGUCGCCGUCCUUAUGGCAGAUAGAGGGAGAGAGCGCGCGAUAGGGGAGCCCUGUUGAAGCCGGUCUGCUGCCUCUAUUUCCGCCGCUGUGUCACGGAGAAGAGAGAGAGCCGCGCCGCACCUCAAUCACUGCUAACCCACCGAAGCUGGCGCACAGAAGAGGGGAAGGGACGCUGCCUUGUGUCGUCGCUGGCGUGCCUGGGCACUGUUGCUGCGAACGUGCCAUCGCCGGAGCUGGGUGGUUGCUGUCAUGGGAACCGUGAAAGGAGGGAGAAGCCGUGCCGCUUUUCUGGCCGCCAGAGCUUCUAUGGCAGUCAGAAGCUGCCACUGCCCAACCAGCUGCAACAGGGGUUGUCUGCUGUCAUGUAGGGCUGCUGGAGAAGCUGUUGUGGCUGCCGGAACCAUCACUGGAACUUCUGCAGUUUGAUUCAGUCUUUAAUCCUUUCUCACGGGUCAAGCUAUGGUUAUUGCGGGUCACGAUUAAAGCUGCCGCCGAGCCGGUUCGGAGACCGCCGCUGUUCGGUUCAUCCGUUCCUUCUUCGUUUCGAGUCGUUGAGAUUGUUGCGAAAGUGGCUAAGAGCUGAGGUUUUGGCUGCUGUGAUUUCGAGUUGAGGCGAAAAGGACUCUGUGAGACGUUUGGGGUUAUGGAUUUGCGUUUUGAGGAUAUGGGCGCAGAAGUUACGAAGAGCUUAUUUAAUUGUUGUUGUGAUGCUCUGUAUUGUUUUAGUUAUGGUUUAUUGUACCCUCGCCUUUAUCUUGAUAUAAUCUGUAAGAAGGAUAGGAAUUGCAUUGGUUAAUUCUUGUAAAGUUAUUUAUAUAUGUAUUUAUGUAUAUAUAUGGAUGUACUCUUUAUGAGUUGUU
Arachis ipaensis is the source of this 1112-nucleotide non-coding RNA. Lineage: Eukaryota; Viridiplantae; Streptophyta; Magnoliopsida; Fabales; Fabaceae. The record is from RefSeq and is a predicted model, not a curated record.